This 650-nucleotide ribosomal RNA is filed under the name uncultured bacterium. Its description in RNAcentral is "bacterial SSU rRNA". It matches the Rfam family "Bacterial small subunit ribosomal RNA", at positions 56 to 691 of the family's 1533-position model. The record is from RNAcentral.
UGCAAGUCGAGGGGCAGCGGAGCGGAGUGCUUGCACUCUGCUGCCGGCGACCGGCGCACGGGUGAGUAACACGUAUGCAACCUGCCCCGGAGCGGGGGAUAACCCGGCGAAAGCCGGACUAAUACCGCGUAUAUAUCCAGGAGGCAUCUUCUGGAUAGGAAAGGACUUCGGUCCGCUCCGGGAUGGGCAUGCGGCGCAUUAGGCAGACGGCGGGGUAACGGCCCACCGUACCGACGAUGCGUAGGGGUUCUGAGAGGAAGGCCCCCCACACUGGUACUGAGACACGGACCAGACUCCUACGGGAGGCAGCAGUGAGGAAUAUUGGUCAAUGGGCGAGAGCCUGAACCAGCCAAGCCGCGUGAGGGAAGAAGGCGCUCAGCGUCGUAAACCUCUUUAGCCGGGGGACAAAACCUCCUCGUGAAGGAGGCUUGAGAGUACCCGGAGAAUAAGCAUCGGCUAACUCCGUGCCAGCAGCCGCGGUAAUACGGAGGAUGCGAGCGUUAUCCGGAUUUAUUGGGUUUAAAGGGUGCGCAGGCGGACAUUCAAGUCUGCGGUCAAAUUCCGGGGCUCAACCCCGGCCAGCCGUGGAAACUGAAUGACUUGAGUGGGCGGGAGGUAUGCGGAAUGCGCGGUGUAGCGGUGAAAUGCUU